This 390-nucleotide long non-coding RNA is filed under the name Struthio camelus australis. Its description in RNAcentral is "lncRNA (ENSSCUG00000012477.1)". The record is from RNAcentral. Lineage: Eukaryota; Metazoa; Chordata; Aves; Struthioniformes; Struthionidae.
AAAGCCAUCUAAUUUGUGAUAUUUAUGAGGUGACACUACAUGCUACAUGAAAAGGCAAAAGUCGUUUUAUUAAACAAAAUCUAAAAUACAAUUAUAUUGUCUGAUUUUCAAGCAUGAGUCUCAGCUACCUGUCAAGCCUAUUUAAAACAUAAAUAUUUAGGUAUUUUCACAAUAAAUCAUCCACCAGUCAAUUCUUGCAGAAGCGUGACCAACGAUGAGGACAUCAAGUUACAGCCAGAAUUCACUGUGAUAAUACUUCCAGAGUGCUUGGAUGAUCUCAAGGAAGGUCAUUUGAUUUCCCUAUGCACCAGUCACUUUACCUGUAAAAUGGAAAGAAUAAUUACUGAGUGUGUUAAACAGGAUGUUAUACAGAAAAUAGCAUUAGUGUGA